Molecule: long non-coding RNA, 362 nt
Organism: Magnolia sinica
Lineage: Eukaryota; Viridiplantae; Streptophyta; Magnoliopsida; Magnoliales; Magnoliaceae
Exons: 2
Source: RefSeq, a predicted model, not a curated record
CACCAGUGCCAAAGGCUUUUUUUCUUUUCUUUUCUUUUUUUCCUCCCCAUUGAAAGGUGAUGCUAACUAUCAUCCAACAAUCUCAUUUAUUUUAGCCUUUUCAAUUACAUGAUAUCAGGGAAAUAAUAUAAUAGAAACUUAGUCAUAUUGCAGAAGAGCAUCUGCAUAUAAUUCAUGUAAGCAAAAUUACAAAGAAGCACAUGACAUUUACGACUAACAUGAAUACUUGUGCCUCAAAUAACACAUUAAUGAUAAUCCAGAAUAAGAUGGAAACUAGUACAUCAAACAACCAAACUAAGCUACCAAUUCUAGCUAAUCCAAGAUGGCUGGAACCUCCUGACUGUCCACCUAUGUAUAUACCC